Molecule: microRNA precursor, 59 nt
Filed under: Danio rerio (zebrafish)
Lineage: Eukaryota; Metazoa; Chordata; Actinopteri; Cypriniformes; Danionidae
Also listed under: 1 other name
Description: Dre-Mir-128-P2a_pre stem-loop
Rfam family: mir-128 microRNA precursor family
Source: RNAcentral
CGGGGCCGUGGCACUGUAUGAGAUUCAUGUAGGCUUUCUCACAGUGAACCGGUCUCUUU